Oryza glumipatula is the source of this 205-nucleotide non-coding RNA. The record is from Rfam. Lineage: Eukaryota; Viridiplantae; Streptophyta; Magnoliopsida; Poales; Poaceae.
UAAAAAGGCAAACCUUGGUUUCCGUGUCUAACUUUGACUGUCCGUCUUAUAUGAAAUUUUUUUAUAAUUCGUAUUUUUAUUAUUGUUAGAUGAUAAAACAUGAUUAAUAUUUUAUAUGUGAUUUGUCUUUUUAAUUUUUUUUAUAUUUUUUUUAAAUAAGACGGACGGUCAAACGUUGGACACGGAAAUCAGGGUUUGUCUUUUU